RNAcentral lists this ribosomal RNA (640 nucleotides) under uncultured earthworm cast bacterium. Its description in RNAcentral is "bacterial SSU rRNA". It matches the Rfam family "Bacterial small subunit ribosomal RNA", at positions 48 to 699 of the family's 1533-position model. The record is from RNAcentral.
UUUACACAUGCAAGUCGAACGGUGAACUCGGUGCUUGCACCGGGGGAUCAGUGGCGAACGGGUGAGUAACACGUGGGCAAUCUGCCCCUAACUCUGGGAUAACUGCGGGAAACCGCAGCUAAUACCGGAUACGACCCAGGCAGGCAUCUGCACUGGGUGGAAAGUUUUUCGGUUAGGGAUGAGCUCGCGGCCUAUCAGCUUGUUGGUGGGGUAAUGGCCUACCAAGGCGACGACGGGUAGCCGGCCUGAGAGGGCGACCGGCCACACUGGGACUGAGACACGGCCCAGACUCCUACGGGAGGCAGCAGUGGGGAAUAUUGCACAAUGGGCGAAAGCCUGAUGCAGCGACGCCGCGUGAGGGACGAAGGCCUUCGGGUUGUAAACCUCUUUCAGCAGGGAAGAAGCGAAAGUGACGGUACCUGCAGAAGAAGCACCGGCUAACUACGUGCCAGCAGCCGCGGUAAUACGUAGGGUGCAAGCGUUGUCCGGAAUUAUUGGGCGUAAAGAGCUCGUAGGCGGUUUGUCGCGUCUGCUGUGAAAACUCAGGGCUUAACCCUGAGCCUGCAGUGGGUACGGGCAGACUAGAGUGUGGUAGGGGAGAUCGGAAUUCCUGGUGUAGCGGUGGAAUGCGCAGAUAUCA